Oncorhynchus tshawytscha (Chinook salmon) is the source of this 1034-nucleotide long non-coding RNA. NCBI's taxonomy places the organism in Eukaryota, Metazoa, Chordata, Actinopteri, Salmoniformes, Salmonidae. The record is from Ensembl.
ACAACAUGGCUGCCCUGUUACAUGUGGUCAUCAGUGGAGCAGAAGUGCUUUGAUUCGCAUUCUGCUUAGGAAAUGUAGACCUAUAGGCCAAAUGCAAAGAAAUGAUUUAUAGAUGUUUUUUAAAUGAGUGAAUUCCUUGUUGUUUACACAAUUCAUCUUGAAGCUGCCAUGUUUACUGGAAUAAAACUCAACUCUAAAUGAGUUGACAUCAGUGGAUGUUUCUGAGGGAGGACGGCUCAUAAUAAUGGCUGGAACGGAGCGAAUGGAAUGGCAUUAAAUGCAAGGAAACCAUGGAAACCACAUGUUUGAUGUAUUUGACACCAUUCCAUCCUAUUCCUCUCCAGACAUUAUCAAUUACUUGUCCUCCCCAAUUAAAGUGGCACCAACCUUCUGUGGUUGACACAGUUCAGUGUUGAAUACAAGUGGGUCAUUCUUGGGCUGGGGUAAUAUUUCAGUCCCUUUGACUUUUUAUAUUAUAUUUCAAGUAUUGGGUCACCGAAAUGAAACGUUAACAGAUUUUGUAUAAACAUUGAAAUGUCCAGUAUAAUGAAUUGAAAUAAAUAUAGUAUUCAUUUAAACCUUAUUAUAAAAAACAUCUUAUUUUUUAAGCUGACACUAAGAAUUGUGUCAUGUCCCCCAGGCAUUUGACAUAAUUUUUACUUGGGAAAUUAAUAUGAAAAUGUGCACAUAAUUAAUAACUUCUUCCAUUAAUGUAAACAGAUGUGUGUUAUUUUGUUGAGAAUGUAUUUUUAUCAAAUAAAUACAUGAUUAUUGAUUAAAAUGACACAAUUUGACCUCUUUCCCUCAGUCUAUACUCAACCCCGUCACACCAACGAAACUCUGCUAAUAAAAAAUGCUCAGUCCACCCUUUAUGUGCCAUCAUUAACAGGAAGUGACAUCAUUUCACAAUUUCCAUCUUCAUGGUACAGAAACAGGCAAGUAAUCAUGUUAUUUUAUAUCUGUAUUUUGUUGUUUUUUAAAGUCAGGUGGGGAUGGUCGAGCUGACCAACUCAACCCCGUUACAUGAAAUAAAG